AUUGAACGCUGGCGGCAGGCCUAACACAUGCAAGUCGAACGAGUGGCGGACGGGUGAGUAAUGUCUGGGAACCUGCCCGAUGGAGGGGGAUAACUACUGGAAACGGUAGCUAAUACCGCAUACCAUCAGAUGUGCCCAUAUGGGAUUAGCUGGUUGGUGGGGUAACGGCUCACCAAGGCGACGAUCCCUAGCUGGUCUGAGAGGAUGACCAGCAACACUGGAACUGAGAAACGGUCCAGACUCCUACGGGAGGCAGCAGUGGGGAAUAUGGAACAAUGGGCGAAAGCCUGAUGCAGCCAUGCCGCGUGUAUGAAGAAGGCCUUCGGGUUGUAAAGUACUUUCAGCAGGGAGGCGUUACCCGCAGAAGAAGCACCGGCUAACUACGUGCCAGCAGCCGCGGUAAUAC
Molecule: ribosomal RNA, 406 nt
Filed under: uncultured bacterium
Lineage: Bacteria
Description: partial 16S ribosomal RNA
Rfam family: Bacterial small subunit ribosomal RNA
Source: RNAcentral